UAGGCCUUUCGUUCAAAAACAAAACAGGAGGAAACGAUCGAUCAACAAAUCAAUCUUAUCUUAUCUCUCUCUAACAUUAAAAAACAGUCUUAAUCGACGAAUGGAUUCGGCGAAUUAUCACGCAACGCUCUCACGAUCUGUCCCCGCCUCCCUCUGAUUAAUAAUUUUGACGUGAUCGCAUCACGCGAACAAGUAACCCCGAACUUUAAACAAAAUUGAAUCCUAUAUUGAUCGCAUAAUUUAAUUUGAAGAAACGAGAAUUGCGAAACAAUGCUCUGCGUUUAUUGACUGUACCGCAAAGAGGAUAGGAUUGCCGAAACAUCAAAGUUGGGCGAGUUGGGCGGGAGUGCUAGGCGCGAAACCAAGUCGUAAAACUCUCUUUAAUGUAAGUAUAGUAUGUAUACGCUCCCAACCAACUUCCUUCUGCUUCCUUUGCUCCCUCUCCCUCUUCCUCGUUCGCUUUAAACUCUUGCAUUCGCGUCUGCCGCGCCGGAAGCGGUGGCGCCUACUGACAAAAAGAAACUACUAUAUAUUAGAUCUCCAUUCCGUAGCUUUCUUGAAAUCAACUGACUCGAACGAACUCGGGGGAGAUUCACCGGAAACGAAGGAACUGAUUGCUGUCAAAUGAAGGAAACGCGAGGUGAAUGAUCAACGCGGAAGUGGCAGUACAAUUUUACCCUAUUGGUAAUUUUACAAUUCUGCCAGUCGGAUGUAAAUUUUCAAGAAGUUUGCAAUUAAUUGCAAAUAACACGAACCAUACAAACUUACUAUAUUAUACACAUAUCGUUUCCGUGUCACGAUUCUCCAAUUUUUUUUUUCUCGCUUCAUCUCGCCGAUUCUCCAUUUCUCCCCUUCUAUCCAAUCUCUCUCUCGCUUUCUCUGCCUAUCAAUCCGUUCAUUAUGUAUAGUCUACAUAUACGUGUGACCCUCAAUUGAAAUCGCUCAACACUACUUUUCGUUACAUAAUAAUUCAGAAACGCUCGCACGGAAUUUAUAUGGUUGUUUCCUGCGCGAUCUCGAUCUCAAUUUCAGACCUGAAUUCGCGCGUGGAAUAUUAUCACUAUGAUCCACCAUGCUUGUCGAAUGAACUACUACAAUAUCAUAGGAGAAAGUAUAGUUUCUGAAGACAUCGAACGCUAACAUUCGAAUAAAGUUUCAUAUUUCAUCGCUGAUGAUCUCACCAUCGAUAGCAAAUAAACGCGGCGCUCAAACGAAACGUAAUAAAUGUCCGAAUCGAUUUUUAAAAUGAAAAUGACCAUGGAACACGUACCUCCUAUACCGCAACUUUACGAUUUUUUAACAUGAUUUACGUUAGUCGGAAACCAUUCGAUGUUCCACGGAGCAGAUAACAUAGACGAAAGUAGAAAAACGAAAUCAUCACUGGUAUCUUUUCGGGAAACGUUUAGUAUAAAAUCCAAUAUCAAGUACCUCCAAUGUUUCGAUGAUCCAUCUGUACGAUGCCCGUGUGCCGUUUAUCGACCAUUUUGAAAGAUGUCCCGUACGAGCCACCGCGCGUAUCGCAUCCAAUCGAGAGUCCUGUCGAUACAUCGACUCAGCAAUCUUUCGAUCGAUCGAUAACAAAAGCGACUAAUAUAAGAUUUCAGACUGGUCCUUCGAUAAUUCGUGAAUCGUCGACAAAGGUAAGGGAAGCGAUCGUUUUUAGAAAGUAGGAUAAACGCGGUCACCACGGAAGAAAACAACAAUGACGCGUAAAUUAAACGGAAGAAGAGAGAGAAAAAAGCGCGAAAUCAUGGCUAGACGAAAUAUUUCUAUUCGAAAAAGAGAAGAACAUAACGAUCUACGAUCUCGUUUCUUCUACAAUUUCAGUCAUCUUGCUGACGCACCGUUGCCUACUCGAGGACAGAGAAUCGCGUCACCGUGAAAUUCUUUCCACGUAUGCAUCAAACGAGAGGCGCGACUUAAUCGGGUUUAAUCGUCGAUUGCACGGACAACCAGACGGAGUGCGCUCCCACGUUUUUUAAAAGGAAGAAAGGAAAGAAAACAGACGGUACGUGAGCUGUACUCGCUUAUUCGCACUAACUGCGAUAUAUAUAUAGCGAUCCUUCUCAUCUCUCUUCGAUUUACAUAUGCACAUAUUCAUGUGUUAUGGAAAGACAAAUAAGAGAGAAAGAGAGAGAGAGAUACGGUGAUUGAUCAUUUUUCUAUCUUAUAUCAUUUUAGUCAAUUUUAUUUAGCCAUUAUAUAUCCAAAUAAAAACAAAAUUUGCAACAGAUGGAUAGCUAUUUCGUUUUCGAAAAUGUGAAAGUACUUCGAAAGACUGAGUUUUGUUCAUUGUGUAGAAACAAAGCAAAUUUGUUAACGAAGUAUUCGAUUGAUAGACAAAAUCCGACCUAUCGACUUGUCGAAUAUUAUCGAGUGUUAACGCGAUGAAAAGUGUUUUAUUGUGAAAUAUAAGAAAUUUUUGAUUAUUAUAUCAACAUUGAUAACAAGUUUCUUUUAUAAAAUAAUUAAAUAAAACAAAAAAAAAGUUUUAAUAAUAAAUCAAUUAACGAAUUAUAAUGAAUUA
Apis cerana (Asiatic honeybee) is the source of this 2527-nucleotide long non-coding RNA. RefSeq lists it as uncharacterized. The record is from RefSeq and is a predicted model, not a curated record. NCBI's taxonomy places the organism in Eukaryota, Metazoa, Arthropoda, Insecta, Hymenoptera, Apidae.